RNAcentral lists this long non-coding RNA (2394 nucleotides) under Ixodes scapularis (black-legged tick). RNAcentral describes it as "uncharacterized LOC8052935, transcript variant X4". The record is from RNAcentral. Lineage: Eukaryota; Metazoa; Arthropoda; Arachnida; Ixodida; Ixodidae.
GUCGUAUGUCUCAUCUCAGCAGAGUUGCCGAAGUGGCGGUGUUUCCCCAACCACGACCGAACGUUGCCGUUGCCCAGGAUCUACCGUGGAACUCUACCUGGCUACCAGGAUGCCAGCUCAGGGUCCCGGGGCACCAUUCCUACAAUGUCUUCUUCGUGGGAUGAGGAAUUUGGCGCCGGCGCCACGGCCGAGGUGCAGCGGGCGCUGGACGCUGUGGACGGCUUCCUGUACGAGGGCACCUGUGUGGGGGUGCUCGGAGGGGAGCUGGAAGCCGAGUGCCAGCGCUGGGCAGACGCCUUCGUGCACCUGAGGGCCGUCGGCCGUGGAAUUACACCUCCGACGUGUGUUGAGCCUCGAAGUGCAUCCCCAAAGGAAAACAACUCUGGAUCUGCACAAAGCAACUGCGAGGCGGAGCCUGCCAUUUCACCAACGGAGGACCCACUCAAAGACGAGGUGGCCGAUCGUCUCUGUGCCCUUUUCUGGCCCGAGGUAACCGGGCAGCACCGCUCGCCCCUGCAGCACUUGCACUGCUCGAAGCCCCGGGCACGCACUGCACUUGAUGCACACUCUGCGGUUGAACUGCGGCACCCGUGACAUCUCCACGACCGGGGCUGGGAAACUGCACGGCCGUUCAGGCAGGGAGGCGCCGGGACUGGAGGGGGUCCUCACAGUGGAGCCCAAGCUGCUCGAAAAUCGCCACGUGGGAGGGUACCAUGACGCCGGCCCCCCUGGGAUCCCGCCGGGAAGGUCGUGGUCCGACGGUUCCUCUCUGCCGCCUCUGAGCUCGGAGGGCAGCCGCAGCUCGAGCAACCUGCCCGCAUCGUCGACAUCCAGCCGGCAAGGGACCAGCAGCGGCUCUUCAGUCUCCAGGCUGCCUCCUAUUGGCUCAUUGUCCCUGGGAAGCCUGUGCCUCGAGGGACGCCGGAUGUCUGUGACCUCCAGGCCCCCAACGAGGAGUGCCAGGGGCUCGCAUCUGCCCAAGCACUGAAUGUCCCGUGAGAAGACUGUCAGCAGCGUCGGACGAGUGAGCAACGCUUGCCACACGGCCACAUGUAGGAUCCUCUACAGCCUGCAGUGCACUUGCCAGUUUUCUCGCCGUCCGGCGUGGUGUCACAUACCGUCGGGUGGCAGUGGACUUUCUUUUCUCUUCGUCGCUGUGGACAAGUUCUGACGGACUUGCGCUUCCCUGGUUGCCUUUUGGGGGGUUGAUGACUGUUGUCCCAAGACGGGUUGAUCUUCUUGCCACUCUUGCGAAUGUCGUUCUUUCUUGUGGGGAGGAGGGGGCUUUGAGGUUUCUUCUUUUGUUUUGUGUGUCUGCCCCUGCUUCAGGCCACUAAACAAGCUUGGCAGCAUCGUUCCACGGUGCUCGUGCGAUGUAACUGCGAAGCAAAACAAUCGGGUUUCCGCAGUGCGAAGAGCAGCAACUAGGUGCACCUCGAAGGAUCCCAACGAAGUUCUGGGCCACUUUGAAUUGUUUGUUGAGUGCUGUCAUUGAUGGUUAGUAUGGCUGUGCUCUAUACCCAGGAUUGUGUGCAGCAUUGUCAGCGGAAUGGGUGUAGCUGCGACUUAAAGAAAGGGCUUUGGUUGGUUUGUCUGGUGUUUAGUAGAGCUGGUUCUUAUGUCUUGUGUGACAUUGUAGCACGCCAGGUGCAGCUCGCAGACCCACAAACACACACACUUCACAUAGUCGGUAUGCACCACCAUGCCAAACUUAUGUGUGGUUCCGAAAUGUGCACCUUUAUCUUUUGCCCCCCGUUUUACUUUUGAUAUCCUUCGGGAUAUUGCUAUGCCCUCUGCAGUAUGUAAAUGGGACCUUUCAGUGCAUAUUUGAACUUGAAUAUCUGUUACUCGUUUCUUUGGACAUUGCACCUUGGGAAAGUUAGAUGAAAUUAUGGUUGUAUUUUUUUGUUUAUCCUUCCACGAUUGUCCUCACAUUGUACAAUAGCCACGUUUGAUUUACUUACACCUCCUGCACCGGUACAGAAAAGUGUAGGCUGGUGUACCUCCGGCCAUAUCUAAAUACACUUACCGGAUCCAGUAGGCUGCCCUACACUUUUCUGCACUGGUGCAGGAGGUGUAAGUAUAUCGAACGCAGCUACUGUUCCUUGGUAAGAAUAUUUUUGUAUCUUCGUGUACUUUUUUUUUAUUGCAAUUUUUUUUAGAAAUUGCACCUUGGGAAACGUGAGAUAAAAUUAUGGUUGUAUUUCUUUUUUUUUUUUUUUUCACAUUGUGCAAUGUUUUUUGGUAAGAAUACUUUUGUAGCUUCGUGUGUGUAUUAUUUAUUUAUUAUUAUUUUUUUUUUCUUUUCAGAUGAGAUUGUUGGUAUUAUUCGAGUCAGAAAAUCGCCCGAGACAGAUUAUAUUCCGUUUCCGAAUUAAAACUUGUUUCAAACCA